GGUUAAGUGACUAAGCGUACACGGUGGAUGCCUUGGCAGUCAGAGGCGAUGAAGGACGUAGUAACUUGCGAUAAGCGUAGAUGAGGCAGUAACAGCCACUUGAGUCUACGAUUUCCGAAUGGGGAAACCCACUGGCAUAAGCCAGUAUCAUUGAGUGAAUACAUAGUUCAAUGAAGCGAACCGGGAGAACUGAAACAUCUAAGUACCCCGAGGAAAAGAAAUCAACCGAGAUUCCGAAAGUAGCGGCGAGCGAAAUUGGAUUAGCCCUUAAGCUUUACAUGUGUUAGACGAACGGUCUGGAAAGUCCGACGAUACAGGGUGAUAGUCCCGUAGUUGUAGAUGCAUGUUCAGUGAAAUCGAGUAGGGCGGGACACGUGUUAUCCUGUCUGAAUAUGGGGGGACCAUCCUCCAAGGCUAAAUACUCCUGACUGACCGAUAGUGAACCAGUACCGUGAGGGAAAGGCGAAAAGAACCCCUGUGAGGGGAGUGAAAUAGAACCUGAAACCGUGUACGUACAAGCAGUAGGAGCACCUUCGUGGUGUGACUGCGUACCUUUUGUAUAAUGGGUCAGCGACUUAUAUUCAGUGGCAAGGUUAACCAUCUAGGGGAGCCGUAGGGAAACCGAGUCUUAACUGGGCGCCAUAGUCUCUGGAUAUAGACCCGAAACCGAGUGAUCUAGCCAUGGGCAGGUUGAAGGUUGAGUAACAUCAACUGGAGGACCGAACCGACUAAUGUUGAAAAAUUAGCGGAUGACUUGUGGCUAGGGGUGAAAGGCCAAUCAAACUCGGAGAUAGCUGGUUCUCCCCGAAAGCUAUUUAGGUAGCGCCUCGGACGAAUACUACUGGGGGUAGAGCACUGUUAAGGCUAGGGGGUCAUCCCGACUUACCAACCCUUUGCAAACUCCGAAUACCAGUAAGUACUAUCCGGGAGACACACGGCGGGUGCUAACGUCCGUCGUGGAGAGGGAAACAACCCAGACCGCCAGCUAAGGUCCCAAAUUACAGCUAAGUGGGAAACGAUGUGGGAAGGCUUAGACAGCUAGGAUGUUGGCUUAGAAGCAGCCAUCAUUUAAAGAAAGCGUAAUAGCUCACUAGUCGAGUCGGCCUGCGCGGAAGAUGUAACGGGGCUAAGUUGUAAACCGAAGCUGCGGCAAUAUCUUUUAGAUAUUGGGUAGGGGAGCGUUCUGUAAGCCGUUGAAGGUGUGUUGUAAAGCAUGCUGGAGGUAUCAGAAGUGCGAAUGCUGACAUGAGUAACGACAAGGGGGGUGAAAAACCUCCCCGCCGGAAGACCAAGGGUUCCUGUCCAACGUUAAUCGGGGCAGGGUAAGUCGACCCCUAAGGCGAGGCCGAAAGGCGUAGUCGAUGGGAAACGGGUUAAUAUUCCCGUACUUCUUACAAUUGCGAUGGGGGGACGGAGAAGGCUAGGUGGGCCUGGCGACGGUUGUCCAGGUUCAAGUGCGUAGGCUGAGUGUUUAGGUAAAUCCGGA
This 1486-nucleotide ribosomal RNA is filed under the name Vibrio vulnificus. RNAcentral describes it as "partial 23S ribosomal RNA". It matches the Rfam family "Bacterial large subunit ribosomal RNA", at positions 1 to 1546 of the family's 2925-position model. Lineage: Bacteria; Pseudomonadati; Pseudomonadota; Gammaproteobacteria; Vibrionales; Vibrionaceae. The record is from RNAcentral.